This 240-nucleotide unclassified non-coding RNA is filed under the name soil metagenome. RNAcentral's name for it is "partial contains 5.8S ribosomal RNA, internal transcribed spacer 2, and large subunit ribosomal RNA". The record is from RNAcentral.
AACCUAGCACACCUGCGGUGUGUACCUGCGGAAGGAUCAUUAACGAGUUGACAAGUCGGUCGACCGUGCUGGCGGAGACGCAUGUGCACGUCGGUCGCAAAUCUCAUCCACACACCUGUGAACGUAUGGCCUCUGGGUACUUGCGACCUGGGGGCAAACCUUUUUCACCCACUCUGUUUGUAAAGGAAUGUCAUGUGUGCGAAACGCGCAAAAUGAAACAACUUUUAGCAACGGAUCUCA